GCAUUUUUUGCUAUGGACUGUUGCAAAUUGAAAACAAGCUCUGUAAACUCUAAAGAAACCAGUCCUAACGACUUCUAACCAAAAAGACUGGUCAGGCAUUUGAUCCCAGCACAGCACAAUUCAAAAUCUGCUCUCUGCUGCUCUGCGCAUGGAGAGGAUUAGGAAUGUAGUGGAACAGCAAGCUGAUGUUGCAGUGUGUGGAACAGAGCACUGGCAAAAAGAGACUUUAACGAAAAGGAUUUUCUCUCUCCUCAACAUCACACCAGGGCAAACAUGCAAAAAAGUUUCUAUCAAGCAAAGAGAGAGAGAAGUGAGAGAAAUCCAGCUUUUGAACGUGAACAUGGAACUAACAAGAAGAGCUCUUUCUCAUCACGGGACUAAUUUUGUACUUCAUGCCUUCACAAGCAGGAAAAAGGCUGAAAUUCCCGAUUUUCAAACCUAGACCUGGAACUAUGUCAUUCUUCCAAAUUGAUAACAGAAAUGUCUAAUUCCACUCAUUAUUUUAUAUCAAGGAAAUGUUUUUAAACUGGUUACGUAUGCAUGCAAGUAGAUGAAGGUUGGUACCCUACACAAGGUAUGAGAGUAAAUGACAACCAUUAAAAGAUAUGUUUGUUUAAACCCACAGGUCUGCAGAGUUCUUCCACUGGAUGAGCUCAUUAAUAAAACCCUUGUGCAUCA
Molecule: long non-coding RNA, 678 nt
Organism: Lepisosteus oculatus (spotted gar)
Lineage: Eukaryota; Metazoa; Chordata; Actinopteri; Semionotiformes; Lepisosteidae
Source: RefSeq, a predicted model, not a curated record